AGUGAACGUUGGCGGCGUGGAUUAGGCAUGCAAGUCGAGCGAGAACCGUAGCAAUACGGGGACAGCGGCGAAAGGGACAGUAAUGUGUAGGUACCUACCUCCGGGUUCGGGAUAGCUGCGGGAAACUGCAGGUAAUACAGAAUAACGUCUCCGGACCAAAGGUGUGAUUCCACCUGGAGAGGGGCCUGCAUCCUAUUAGCUUGUUGGCGGGGUAACGGCCCACCAAGGCGACGAUGGGUAGCGGGUGUGAGAGCACGACCCGCGUCAUUGGGACUGAGACCCUGCCCAGCAACCUACGGGUGGCUGCAGUCGUGAAUCUUCGGCAAUGGGCGCAAGCCUGACCGAGCGACGCGGCGUGCGGGAUGAAGGCCUUCGGGUUGUAAACCGCUGUCGUAGAGGAGGAAAUGCAGGGGGGUUCUCCCCUCUGUUUGACCUAUUCUAGGAGGAAGUACGGGCUAAGUUCGUGCCAGCCGCCGCCGUAA
Molecule: ribosomal RNA, 482 nt
Filed under: uncultured bacterium
Lineage: Bacteria
Description: partial 16S ribosomal RNA
Rfam family: Bacterial small subunit ribosomal RNA
Source: RNAcentral